This 213-nucleotide non-coding RNA is filed under the name Paramaledivibacter caminithermalis. RNAcentral's name for it is "Clostridium caminithermale T-box sequence". It matches the Rfam family "T-box leader". Rfam says of the family: Uncharged tRNA acts as the effector for transcription antitermination of genes in the T-box leader family. T-boxes are found upstream of many aminoacyl-tRNA synthetase genes and some amino acid biosynthetic genes usually in Gram-positive bacteria. The anticodon of a specific tRNA base pairs to a specifier sequence within the T-box motif, and the NCCA acceptor tail of the tRNA base pairs to a conserved bulge in the T-box antiterminator hairpin. The record is from RNAcentral. Lineage: Bacteria; Bacillati; Bacillota; Clostridia; Peptostreptococcales; Caminicellaceae.
UCAAAGGCUGUGAAGGGAAGUAGUAAAUAGAAUAGUUUUUUAAGAGAGUCGGCGGUUGGUGCAAGCUGAUAUAACUACCUAUUGAAUCCGUCCUAGAGUCAUUAAGCUGAAAAAUUAUUAGGCUUAAUCGGUUAGCAACCGUUAAUAUGCUAAGAGCUGGACUAUUUUAGUCAAUCAGGGUGGCAACGCGGGAAAAUAUCUCUCGUCCCUAUG